CCAAUAGCGUAUAUUAAAGUUGCUGCAGUUAAAAAGCUCGUAGUUGAAUUUCGGGAUCAAUAUGUUUGGUCGUGCCUUGGUACGUACUGGCUUAUUGGUUUCUCCCUUCUGACGAACCCUGAUGUCAUUAAUUUGGUGUCAUGGGAAAUCAGGACUGUUACUUUGAAAAAAUUAGAGUGUUUAAAGCAGGCUCACGCUUGAAUACAUUAGCAUGGAAUAAUGCAAUAGGACGUUUGAUUCUAUUUUGUUGGUUUCUAGGAUCGACGUAAUGAUUAAUAGGGAUAGUUGGGGGCAUUAGUAUUCAAUUGUCAGAGGUGAAAUUCUUGGAUUUAUUGAAGACUAACUACUGCGAAAGCAUUUGCCAAGGAUGUUUUCAUUAAUCAAGAACGAAAGUUAGGGGAUCGAAGACGAUCAGAUACCGCCGUAGUCUUAACCAUAAACUAUGCCGACUAGGGAUCGGAUGAUGUUAAUUUUUUAAUGACUCAUUCGGCGCCUUACG
This 499-nucleotide ribosomal RNA is filed under the name uncultured Glomeromycotina. RNAcentral's name for it is "partial small subunit ribosomal RNA". It matches the Rfam family "Eukaryotic small subunit ribosomal RNA", at positions 591 to 1092 of the family's 1831-position model. The record is from RNAcentral. Lineage: Eukaryota; Fungi; Glomeromycota.